AUGCAGGAUGUGGAACCGCCACUGCCCGUCUACACUGCCCGUCACGGGAGGGAGCCGCGGGCUCAUCCCCAGGUCACUGAGGCAGCGCGCAGGGAAUCCACGGACGCGCACCCGUGGAGGCGCUGCCAGCGGUUCAGAAGGGACCCCAAGAGGUACAGGCAGGAGGCCCCCAGGUCCUCCCCGCACUCAGGGCGGCUGCAGCCACGCAGGCUCCGGGACGGACAGCAAGCCGGGGCGUCUGCUCCGUGCCAGGCCCCACUGCGGGUUCUGACCAGCUGCGUUCACGAAUCGAUGGGGUCAGAGCAGGUCCCGGGGCGCCUCGGCGGCCCUGAACCCACCCAACCAGCCCUGCUAGGUGCGGCUAAACCUGGGGCUCCUGCGCUGAGCACCCCGGCUCCCAGCACCCCGGCUCCCAGCACCCCAGCUCCCAGCCCCUCAGCUCCCAGCCCCCUCGGCUCCCAGCCCCCCCGCCUUCCAACCCCUUGGCUCCCAGCCUCCCGGCUCCCAGCUCCCCGGCUCCCAGCUCCCCGGCUCCCCGGCUCCAGGAGCAGCGCUGGGCCGUGGCAAGGGCAGCCCGCAGUUACACCUGCAGGGGAGGAGGAGACACCCCGGCCUGUCCACCCCCAGCGUGAGGUCCAGGCCGAGGGUGCGGCGGGGUCUGGCUGCGGGGCAGCUGUGGCCUUGCAGGGACAGUGUCAGCCGUGGGGACCGCCGCCGGACACCUCUCGAUCGCGGCCUCAGGACAGCAAGGUGGCUGCCGAUGUCUGGGCUGGAUGGCAAGGCGCCGGCCCGGCCCGGCCCCGGGCUGCCCGCUGGGGGGACGGCGACAACGGCGCAGGCGGGGACGGGCACAUCCAGGGGCGCAGGUGGGGCAGCUGCCGAUGCCGCCCUCCACGCUGCAGAGGUGCUACUGCCCAAGCGUUUCCCAGUCUGAAGUCACAGGACUGCGCUGAGCCCCCGACACUCCUCGAAGAGUCCCCAGAUCACACUGUCACCCGCCUGGCCGAGGAGCCCCUUGUUCUGUGUAACCCCCGACUCACAGUAACGUCCAGGACUUCCUGGGGGCGGCUCGGCGCGACAGCAAGCCACUACCUCCUGUGCCGCCCCAGGUGGGGGACCCGGGCUCAGGCCUUGGCUCCCGGCGCCGCGGUGCCCAGUGCCAGCCCGUGUGGCUCCUUCCUUCUCUCCCCAGCGCCGACCGCGCCCCCAUCGCGACACCCGCCCUCGGUCAACGCGCACUGA
This 1242-nucleotide long non-coding RNA is filed under the name Canis lupus familiaris (dog). RNAcentral's name for it is "lncRNA (ENSCAFG00030024443.1)". Lineage: Eukaryota; Metazoa; Chordata; Mammalia; Carnivora; Canidae. The record is from RNAcentral.